UUUCGCGGGGACUCUCUACUAACCCUAGUUUCUGGUCACCUCCUGUUCUUAUCGUUUGUUAUUUUCUGUUCCUGGCUUUAACAAACUACAGGAGGCUCUGAAGCAGCGCUGGACACGUCUCGGAACCAAAAAAAAAAGCCAGGAUCACCUCCCUGCCCAUUGUGCUCAAUGUCCCGACUGAAACACCGUGAAUAUCAGGCAAUGGUCAGCUCGGCUGCCGCGAAGAGUUCGUCUCUGUUGCCCCGGUGUUUUCAUGGAGGGAAUCUGUUCAUUUGAGCAUAGUAAACCUGAGCAGGGUCACUCUGUUGGACUUCCAGUGGUCCGAUUAGACAGCCUAAGCUCAAACAAAC
Molecule: telomerase RNA, 350 nt
Filed under: Amphiprion percula (orange clownfish)
Lineage: Eukaryota; Metazoa; Chordata; Actinopteri; Pomacentridae
Description: Vertebrate telomerase RNA (ENSAPEG00000002686.1)
Rfam family: Vertebrate telomerase RNA
About the family: Telomerase is a ribonucleoprotein reverse transcriptase that synthesises telomeric DNA. Telomerase RNAs differ greatly in sequence and structure between vertebrates, ciliates and yeasts, but they share a 5' pseudoknot structure close to the template sequence.
Source: Rfam by way of RNAcentral